Long non-coding RNA from Protopterus annectens (West African lungfish), 380 nucleotides. RefSeq lists it as uncharacterized. The record is from RefSeq and is a predicted model, not a curated record. The transcript has 3 exons. NCBI's taxonomy places the organism in Eukaryota, Metazoa, Chordata, Ceratodontiformes, Protopteridae.
UUUAACAAGAAAAGUUGGUAAUGCAUACUUUCUUACCUUAUGUUUGAGUUCUCUUGUGUGCCUUUGUACGUUAUAAUGAUGUGACAUUGAUGUAGGAGGUUGCCUCCCCUGUGAGGUGAACUCAUGAUAUCUUGCAGUUAGUUGUGCUUUAUGCUGAACAUUACAAACACGCAAAGAUGGGCACUUGGAACAAGCAGAAGGUGAUAUAGUCUGAGAGGUGGGCCACUCAAGAAAGGGAUACAACAGCAACAACAUCAUAGGAACAGAUAUCGUCAGCUGCUAUUUUAAGCUGUUGAAGACUGUGCCCUAAAUCAUGCAUUGAAAAUAAAGCAUAUAUACAGGCUUGUGGAGCAGGGGAGGGAGAGAGAUUUUUUCACAUG